UACGUAGGUCCCGAGCGUUGUCCGGAUUUAUUGGGUUUAAAGGGUGCGUAGGCGGAUCGUUAAGUCAGUGGUCAAAUUGAGGGGCUCAACCCCUUCCCGCCAUUGAAACUGGCGCUCUUGAGUGGAAGAGAAGUAUGCGGAAUGCGUGGUGUAGCGGUGAAAUGCAUAGAUAUCACGCAGAACCCCGAUUGCGAAGGCAGCAUGCCGGCUUCCGACUGACGCUGAAGCACGAAAGCGUGGGGAUCGAACAGG
Molecule: ribosomal RNA, 252 nt
Filed under: uncultured bacterium
Lineage: Bacteria
Description: partial 16S ribosomal RNA
Rfam family: Bacterial small subunit ribosomal RNA
Source: RNAcentral